UUUGGGGGCUGUGGUCUAUUUCGAAACUUGACCUCAAAUCAGGUAGGACUACCCGCUGAACUUAAGCAUAUCAAUAAGCGGAGGAAAAGAAACUAACAAGGAUUCCCCUAGUAACUGCGAGUGAAGCGGGAAGAGCUCAAAUUUUGAAUCUGGCGGCGUUUCGUCGUCCGAGUUGUAAUCUAGAGAAGCGUCUUCCGCGCUGGACCGUGUACAAGUCUCCUGGAAGGGAGCGUCAUAGAGGGUGAGAAUCCCGUCUUUGACACGGACUACCAGUGCUAUGUGAUGCGCUCUCGACGAGUCGAGUUGUUUGGGAAUGCAGCUCAAAACGGGUGGUAAAUUCCAUCUAAAGCUAAAUACAUGCGAGAGACCGAUAGCGAACAAGUACCGUGAGGGAAAGAUGAAAAGAACUUUGGAAAGAGAGUUAAACAGUACGUGAAAUUGCUGAAAGGGAAACGCUUGAUGUCAGUCGCGUUGGCUGGGGAUCAACCUUGCUUCUCGCUGGGUGUACUUCCCGGUCGACGGGUCAGCAUCAGUUUCGGUCGCCGUACAAGGGCGAGGGGAAUGUGGCACUCCUCGGAGUGUGUUAUAGCCUUUCGUCGUAUGCGGCGGUGGGGACUGAGGAACUCAGCACGGCUUYGGUUUGUGCUUAGGAUGCUGGCAUAAUGGCCUUAAGCGACCCG
Molecule: ribosomal RNA, 680 nt
Filed under: Caloboletus marshii
Lineage: Eukaryota; Fungi; Basidiomycota; Agaricomycetes; Boletales; Boletaceae
Description: eukaryotic LSU rRNA
Rfam family: Eukaryotic large subunit ribosomal RNA
Source: RNAcentral